Molecule: unclassified non-coding RNA, 287 nt
Filed under: uncultured fungus
Lineage: Eukaryota; Fungi
Description: partial contains small subunit ribosomal RNA, internal transcribed spacer 1, and 5.8S ribosomal RNA
Rfam family: Eukaryotic small subunit ribosomal RNA (bases 1-73)
Source: RNAcentral
UCAAACUUGGUCAUUUAGAGGAAGUAAAAGUCGUAACAAGGUCUCCGUUGGUGAACCAGCGGAGGGAUCAUUAAAGAGUUGCAAUAAAGAACUCUCUAAACCACCUGUGAAUCUACCUGUUCGUUGCUUCGGCAGGCGGCCCCGGGGUGGGGCCACGGCCUGUAAAAGGGUGCCUGUCGGAGGGCACAAAACUCUUAUUAUUUUCAGCAGCAGUCUGAGUUGCAAAACAAUAAGUCAAAACUUUCAACAACGGAUCUCUUGGUUCUGGCAUCGAUGAAGAACGCAGC